This 397-nucleotide ribosomal RNA is filed under the name uncultured bacterium. RNAcentral's name for it is "bacterial SSU rRNA". It matches the Rfam family "Bacterial small subunit ribosomal RNA", at positions 32 to 417 of the family's 1533-position model. The record is from RNAcentral.
AAUCAACGCUGGCGGCGUGCCUAACACAUGCAAGUCGAACGCGAAAGUGGAGCAAUCCAUGAGUAGAGUGGCAAACGGGUGAGUAACGCGUGGGCGACCUACCUUUGAGUGGGGGAUAACCUUCCGAAAGGAGGGCUAAUACCGCAUGACAUUCUUUGUUUGGAUACAGAGAAAUCAAAGCCGGGAGCAAUCCUGGCGCUUGAAGAGGGGCCCGCGUCCGAUUAGCUAGNGGUGGGGUAACGGCUCACCAAGGCUCCGAUCGGUAUCCGGCCUGAGAGGGCGGACGGACACACUGGAACUGAGACACGGUCCAGACUCCUACGGGAGGCAGCAGUGGGGAAUUGUUCGCAAUGGGCGCAAGCCUGACGACGCAACGCCGCGUGGAGGAUGAAGACCU